CAUCAAUGGCGGAUUACCAUUUUGUUUACAAGGAUUUGGAAGGAACUUCCACUCAAUGGGACGAUAUUCAGAGAAAGCUCGGGAAUCUUCCGGAGAAGCCACCGGUGUUCCAGCCUCCGUCUUUCUCCCCAGCUGAGGACGAGGAUUCAAAGCCUAAGGAUCGGACCUGGAUCGAUGGCAAAACCGAGGAGGAGCUUGAAGAUCUCGAAGAUGAUCUCGACGAUGAUCGCUUUCUUGAGGAAUACAGGAAGAAAAGGUUGGUUGAGAUGAGGGAAGCAUCUAAGGUAGCAAAGUUUGGUUCAGUGAUUCCAAUUUCAGGAUCUGAUUUUGUGCGCGAAGUUUCACAAGCUCCACAAGAUGUUUGGGUAGUCGUCUUGCUCUACAAAGAUGGAUUUCCAGAGUGCAGGGUGCUUUUGCAAUGUCUUGAAGAUUUGGCGAAAAGAUACCCUGCAACGAAGUUUGUCAAAAUUAUAUCAACGGAGUGCAUUCCCAACUAUCCUGAUCGUAAUCUUCCCACGAUUCUGGUGUACAAUAAUAGUGCUGUUAAGGCAACUCAUGUCGGGAUACAUAGUUUCGGGCGGAGGUGCACUUCUGAAAGUGUAGCCUUAGUUCUAUGUCAGGCAGAUCCGGUGCUGAACGAUGGACAUGGAGAGCAAUCAAGAGAUGCUGUUCUUGACGGAGUGAGGAAGAAGUUUCUGGAGAGGGUUGUCAGAGAGCGCGAAGAUGAUGAUGAUGGAUCUUCAAGUGAUUGAUAUUUGCAUGUUUACUCUGCAGAGGAGCUUCUUUUUAUGCUCUCAAGAAAUAAUAUAAACAAAUGGAUAUUGAACCGUCCUAGUUAAAGAGAGCACAAGUAAGCAGUCAACAAAAGCCAUUACCUCAUGAAAAUUGUUCCAACUCCCUACUUUCUUGCUAAAACUACAUCUAUCUAGAAAUAUUU
Salvia splendens (bonfire salvia) is the source of this 937-nucleotide RNA transcript. It is a transcript of the gene named phosducin-like protein 3, with no coding region annotated. Lineage: Eukaryota; Viridiplantae; Streptophyta; Magnoliopsida; Lamiales; Lamiaceae. The record is from RefSeq and is a predicted model, not a curated record. The transcript has 5 exons.